Molecule: non-coding RNA, 234 nt
Organism: Clostridiales bacterium GWD2_32_59
Lineage: Bacteria; Bacillati; Bacillota; Clostridia; Eubacteriales
Source: Rfam
GAAACCCAACCUAGUAAGAUUUAGCCAAUCGCUAGUAUCUAGUCUUGGAGCCGAAAUCGUGAGAUAAGGUUUAAGCGUAGACAAGAAAACUAAUCGAGCCGUAAUGCGAAAGCGUGAAGUGAUUGAGCCUCGUUAGAUUAUUAAGUGAAAGCUGAUGUAGUCACUCCGACAGCAAGCAAUACCGUUUAUUCGCUAAAGGCGAGAAUAAAUGAGUUUCACCGGGGUCCUAGAGCA